This is a long non-coding RNA of Salvia splendens (bonfire salvia), 818 nucleotides long. RefSeq lists it as uncharacterized. The transcript has 3 exons. The record is from RefSeq and is a predicted model, not a curated record. NCBI's taxonomy places the organism in Eukaryota, Viridiplantae, Streptophyta, Magnoliopsida, Lamiales, Lamiaceae.
UGAUAAAUUUAAAUUAAUAAAUAAAGUUCCAUAAUCCAAAUUUUAAUGUCCGAUACAUCCAACCAAAAGUCCAACAAAAUUUAAUUUAUACAUCAUAUGUUUUAAGAAAGCGGGUACUUCAACGCGGAGGACCACGAACUUGAACCAAUUAUUCCUACACCAAAUUAAAUGAAUAAGUGAAUAAAUACUCAAAUAAUUAAAUUAAUAAAUAAAUAAAAAAAAUCCGAUAGAAUUAGGUAAUAUCAGCAGCAUUAAAUGCUGCAUUAAUUGGAUGGCAGAAGAAAUCAUAUCAAAUCAUAUCCCUUCCUGACGAAGGAGAAGACUAAUCUGAGAUAGGAGUAAGUCAGGAAACUUUCACUUGCCAUUCUUUAUGCAUAUGUAUAGAUAUAUACAAUAAUUUUCACCCACCCACGUCACAAACAAACUUUCCAAAAUUUCCACAUAGAAUAGAGGAGGGAGAGUUGCAGAUAAUUGUAGGAUCAAGUCCUCAAUCCAACAACACUUCGUGCCCACAUCAAAAGUAUGAGGUUUUCGAAAAGGUUACCUUCGCAAGUAAAGUCGGAACGAAAGAUUCAAGUUAAGGAAACUAAACGAUCAAGGUUGAGCAGCGAAGUGGUAGAGGAAUUGCUAUUGAGACAAGGCAUUUAAUUCAGUCAGAUUUUGACUCUCGGAGGUUCAUGUCUUCAUACAUGGAACCACGUUCAUUUGCUCUGUUGUGCAUCUGAAAAGACUUAAGUUUAUUUUGUUCAAAACUCUGAUAUUUUGAAAUUUUUUACAAACAAUUACUCGAGUUUUCAUGAUCGAGUAUUUUUCUUCUA